Molecule: transfer RNA, 71 nt
Organism: Natronomonas moolapensis 8.8.11
Lineage: Archaea; Methanobacteriati; Methanobacteriota; Halobacteria; Halobacteriales; Natronomonadaceae
Rfam family: tRNA
About the family: Transfer RNA (tRNA) molecules are approximately 80 nucleotides in length. Their secondary structure includes four short double-helical elements and three loops (D, anti-codon, and T loops). Further hydrogen bonds mediate the characteristic L-shaped molecular structure. tRNAs have two regions of fundamental functional importance: the anti-codon, which is responsible for specific mRNA codon recognition, and the 3' end, to which the tRNAs corresponding amino acid is attached (by aminoacyl-tRNA synthetases). tRNAs cope with the degeneracy of the genetic code in two manners: having more than one tRNA (with a specific anti-codon) for a particular amino acid; and 'wobble' base-pairing, i.e. permitting non-standard base-pairing at the 3rd anti-codon position.
Source: Rfam
GCGCCGUUGGUCCAGUGGUAGGACAUUAGCUUCCCAAGCUAAUAGCCCGGGUUCAAUUCCCGGACGGCGCA